RNAcentral lists this non-coding RNA (20 nucleotides) under Pan paniscus (pygmy chimpanzee). Its record names the gene ppa-miR-532. Lineage: Eukaryota; Metazoa; Chordata; Mammalia; Primates; Hominidae. The record is from miRBase by way of RNAcentral. RNAcentral also lists the same sequence under 2 other names.
CAUGCCUUGAGUGUAGGACC